RNAcentral lists this ribosomal RNA (400 nucleotides) under uncultured bacterium. RNAcentral describes it as "bacterial SSU rRNA". It matches the Rfam family "Bacterial small subunit ribosomal RNA", at positions 355 to 752 of the family's 1533-position model. The record is from RNAcentral.
UAGGGAAUAUUGGGCAAUGGAUGCAAGUCUGACCCAGCCAUGCCGCGUGGAGGAAGAAGGUCCUCUGGAUUGUAAACUCCUUUUUUGGGGGAAGAAUAGUUUUCUUGCGAGAGAAUGUGACGGUACCCUAAGAAUAAGCCACGGCUAACUACGUGCCAGCAGCCGCGGUAAUACGUAGGUGGCAAGCGUUGUCCGGAUUUAUUGGGUUUAAAGGGUGCGUAGGUGGUUUGAUAAGUCAGUGGUGAAAGCUGGUUGCUCAACAAUCAAGUUGCCAUUGAUACUGUCGGACUUGAGAGAAGUGGAGGUUCAUGGAAUGGAUGGUGUAGCGGUGAAAUGCAUAGAUAUCAUCCAGAACGUCGAUUGCGAAGGCAGUGGGCUGUACUUUAUCUGACACUGAGGC